This 495-nucleotide ribosomal RNA is filed under the name Triticum aestivum (bread wheat). RNAcentral describes it as "partial small subunit ribosomal RNA". The record is from RNAcentral. Lineage: Eukaryota; Viridiplantae; Streptophyta; Magnoliopsida; Poales; Poaceae.
AUGGACUGCAUGGUCUGGAAGGUUUGGGCUCCUCCCAAGGUUAAAUUCUUUGCCUGGUUGGCAUUGCAAGAUAGGAUUUGGACCGCCGAUCGCUUGGAGAGGCGUGGGUGGCCAAAUUGUGGCCUCUGCCCUCUUUGCAAGAGGGAGCAGGAAACGGGUGCUCACCUUUUCUUCAAGUGCCGCUACACGAUUAGGCUUUGGAGAGACAUCAUCGAGAAGAUUGGCUUACAUCACAUGGAUACAUCAACGUGGCACCUCCACGAAACCGUCAAAGAGUGGUGGGACAAGAGAACCGACAGUACUAAUCCUAAUUGGCAUGCUAUGGCCUCCCUCACCAUGCUUGUCUCUUGGACAAUUUGGAACGAAAGAAAUGCUAGAGUGUUCCGUCACAAGUGCAUCCCACCGCCUAUUAUCCUUACCACCAUUCUGGACGAGGCCAAGCUUUGGGUAACCGCGGGCGCUAAAAGACUAGGGAACUUGUUGUUGGGUGAGUAA